GAUGAGCCUCCGCCCGUGCCGUCCUCGCACCCUCUCCCUUCAGGUCCUUGUGUGUGUGUGUCUCUCAGUGGUAUCGAGGCUUUGUUGUGCCCCGUGUUUUCUCUCAGUUGCACAACUUAGGUUUUCCUUUUUUUUGUGACGCAGCAGCUGAGACUUUGUACAAGCUUCCUCCUUGAAUCUUCGCUGCUUCCCGCGCAGAACCAAGCUUCCCUUCAUCACCCCGAACUCCAUCCGCUAAGAGCAUCACCACUGACUUCGCCUGUUCAUCUUUCUCUCUCUCAAAACCCCCCUUUCUGUACAGCUUCAGCACGGAGUACUCGCGCAUCCGACGCUGUGCGCACACGUACUCGUUUUCUGGCCUUUGCCGCCACACGCGAUUUUCUGUCGUCGUCUCUCACAACUAUGGUGCCCCUUGUUGUCUUUGCGUAGGAACACAUCUUCUGUUUAGCUCGAUACCCGACUUUGUUCUGGUUACACACACACACAUACAUACAUACACACUCUACCUUCGACUGCUGUGCGCGUUGUGGUUGCCGUCGCUGCCUGUGCCAGAGCCCCAUCGCUCUUUUCACUUGCUCGUUGAUUUUUCUUUUUGUUUUUAUGUUUACGUAGCAUAGCGUAGUCUAGUGAAGCCCUCCUUCCCGCUCCUCCCUCGCGUUCCUUUGCCGCCAAAGACGAGAGCACGCGCAUGCGUACGCACACGCAUAGCAUUCUCUCCUCACCUUCGGGUAGAACGGCCGUAGUGGAAGCGCCACAUCCUCUUCCGUGGCGCUGCAGUGAUAUCUCAACAAAGGACUCAUUUUUCUCGGAUAUUUAGAACCCCCUCUUCCACACUCUCUUUCUCAAG
This 847-nucleotide unclassified non-coding RNA is filed under the name Leishmania donovani. Its description in RNAcentral is "gene:unknown". Lineage: Eukaryota; Euglenozoa; Kinetoplastea; Trypanosomatida; Trypanosomatidae. The record is from RNAcentral.